Molecule: ribosomal RNA, 395 nt
Filed under: uncultured bacterium
Lineage: Bacteria
Description: partial 16S ribosomal RNA
Rfam family: Bacterial small subunit ribosomal RNA
Source: RNAcentral
AUACGUAGGUGGCGAGCGUUAUCCGGAUUUACUGGGUGUAAAGGGCGUGUAGGCGGGUUGGCAAGUUGGAUGUGAAAAACCGCUGCUUAACGGCGGGCCUUCAUUCCAAACUGUCAAUCUUUAGUGUCAGAGGGGGAAGUGGAAUUCCUCGAGGGGCGGUAAAAAGCGUAGAGAUUAGGAGGAACACCGGUGGCGAAGGCGACUUUCUGGCUGACAACUGACGCUGAGACGCGAAAGCGUGGGGAGCAAACAGGAUUAGAUACUCUGGUAGUCCACGCCGUAAACGAUGAGCACUAGGUGUCGGGCUCGCAAGAGUUCGGUGCCGCAGUUAACGCAUUAAGUGCUCCGCCUGGGGAGUACGUACGCAAGUAUGAAACUCAAAGGAAUUGGCGGGG